Molecule: ribosomal RNA, 232 nt
Filed under: uncultured bacterium
Lineage: Bacteria
Description: partial 16S ribosomal RNA
Rfam family: Bacterial small subunit ribosomal RNA
Source: RNAcentral
CGGACGGGUGAGUAAUGUAUGGGGAUCUGCCUGAUGGCGGGGGGUAACUACUGGAAACGGUAGCUAAUACCGCAUAACGUCGCAAGACCAAAGAGGGGGACCUUCGGGCCUCUUGCCAUCGGAUGAACCCAUAUGGGAUUAGCUAGUAGGUAAGGUAACGGCUUACCUAGGCGACGAUCCCUAGCUGGUCUGAGAGGAUGAUCAGCCACACUGGGACUGAGACACGGCCCAG